This 429-nucleotide ribosomal RNA is filed under the name Chloroflexota bacterium. Its description in RNAcentral is "Chloroflexi bacterium partial 16S ribosomal RNA". It matches the Rfam family "Bacterial small subunit ribosomal RNA", at positions 355 to 776 of the family's 1533-position model. The record is from RNAcentral. Lineage: Bacteria; Bacillati; Chloroflexota.
UGGGGAAUAUUGCACAAUGGGCGCAAGCCUGAUGCAGCCAUGCCGCGUGUAUAAAGAAGGCCUUCGGGUUGUAAAGUACUUUCAGUCGGGAGGAAGGUGGUAAGGUUAAUAACCUUAUCAAUUGACGUUACCGACAGAAGAAGCACCGGCUAACUCCGUGCCAGCAGCCGCGGUAAUACGGAGGGUGCAAGCGUUAAUCGGAAUUACUGGGCGUAAAGCGCACGCAGGCGGUUGAUUGAGUCAGAUGUGAAAUCCCCGGGCUUAACCCGGGAAUUGCAUCUGAUACUGGUCAGCUAGAGUCUUGUAGAGGGGGGUAGAAUUCCAUGUGUAGCGGUGAAAUGCGUAGAGAUGUGGAGGAAUACCGGUGGCGAAGGCGGCCCCCUGGACAAAGACUGACGCUCAGGUGCGAAAGCGUGGGGAGCAAACAGG